This 769-nucleotide ribosomal RNA is filed under the name uncultured bacterium. RNAcentral describes it as "bacterial SSU rRNA". It matches the Rfam family "Bacterial small subunit ribosomal RNA", at positions 28 to 776 of the family's 1533-position model. The record is from RNAcentral.
AUUGAACGCUGGCGGCAGGCCUAACACAUGCAGGUCGAGCGGCAGCGACUUAACUGAACCUUCGGGGAACGUUAAGGGCGGCGAGCGGCGGACGGGUGAGUAAUGCCUGGGAAUAUGCCCUGAUGUGGGGGAUAACUAUUGGAAACGAUAGCUAAUACCGCAUAAUCUCUUCGGAGCAAAGAGGGGGACCUUCGGGCCUCUCGCGUCAGGAUUAGCCCAGGUGGGAUUAGCUUGUUGGUGAGGUAAUGGCUCACCAAGGCAACGAUCCCUAGCUGGUCUGAGAGGAUGAUCAGCCACACUGGAACUGAGACACGGUCCAGACUCCUACGGGAGGCAGCAGUGGGGAAUAUUGCACAAUGGGGGAAACCCUGAUGCAGCCAUGCCGCGUGUGUGAAGAAGGCCUUCGGGUUGUAAAGCACUUUCAGUAGGGAGGAAGGUAGUGUAGUUAACACCUGCACUAUUUGACGUUACCUACAGAAGAAGCACCGGCUAACUCCGUGCCAGCAGCCGCGGUAAUACGGAGGGUGCGAGCGUUAAUCGGAAUUACUGGGCGUAAAGCGCAUGCAGGCGGCCUGUUAAGUCAGAUGUGAAAGCCCGGGGCUUAACCUCGGAAUUGCAUUUGAAACUGGCAGGCUAGAGUCUUGUAGAGGGGGGUAGAAUUUCAGGUGUAGCGGUGAAAUGCGUAGAGAUCUGAAGGAAUACCAGUGGCGAAGGCGGCCCCCUGGACAAAGACUGACGCUCAGAUGCGAAAGCGUGGGGAGCAAACAGG